GUGGCAGGGGAGACCCCCUUGAGGAGGAACUGGCAAUGCACUCCAGUAUUCUUGCCUGGAAAAUUCCAUGGACAGAAGAACCUGGUGGGCUCUUUAUUGGUUUACAUGCAGGUGUCCAGCUAUCCCAAGACCACUUCCCGAAGAGACGGUGUGACUUCAUUUUUAAAAACCCACUCGCUUUUCUUGAAUCCAUGGAUCUGAAAAGGAAACUCACAGACAAGGGAGGCCAAACAGGAAAGAGUCUGGCCAAGUCCUACCUGCCCCUCGAGAUUCUGUUGGAACGUCUCUCCGAGAAGCCCCCUUCUGGCUCCCUGCUUUGUCAACUGUGAACCACACGUUCACUGCAUUGCCCUGCAAUGAUGGGUUCACAGACGAGUCUCGCGAAUCUGUGGAUUCCCCAAGGUUUCUUGGCUGCGAGGCAUAUGGGAUCUUCAAUCCCUGACCAGGGAUUGAACCCGCACCCCCUGCAUUGGGAGGCGAAGUCUUAACCACUGGGCCCCCUGGAAAGUCCCCUAGAACCAUGGUCUUUGUUGUGUCUGUUUCCCAGACACCCAGCACAGCACUGGGUCUGUGGUAAUGACUGUGAAAAUGAAUGAAUGACUGUGAAGACAGCUCCACAAGCCAGAGAGGAUCUUUAUACAGCACGGGGCUGGACCAGAUGAUUCUAUCUCUUGUCUACACUGCGGUUCCAACAUCACAUAACCCUGCCGGGUCAGCGCCCCUCUGCUUUGUCACCCAUGGGCUGUUAACUGUUGCC
Long non-coding RNA from Bos taurus (domestic cattle), 757 nucleotides. Lineage: Eukaryota; Metazoa; Chordata; Mammalia; Artiodactyla; Bovidae. The record is from Ensembl.